Molecule: long non-coding RNA, 1262 nt
Organism: Pollicipes pollicipes
Lineage: Eukaryota; Metazoa; Arthropoda; Thecostraca; Pollicipedomorpha; Pollicipedidae
Exons: 2
Source: RefSeq, a predicted model, not a curated record
CGCUGCGGCAGCGGGCGGGCUCGCAGGACGAGCUGCGCGUGAACGGUCUGGCCUCCGCCGAGCCGACGCCAGCGCAGAUCGAGCUGCUCAAGCAGGAGAUCCUCGGCGAGAUGCGGCGCGAGAUCGGCGUCAUGAAGAGCGAGAUCAUCAACGCCAUCAAGGCGGAGCUGAGCCGCCGGUGAACGCUGCAGGCUGGAGCGCAGGCCGGCGCCGUGUCAGCGCAGGCCAGCGCAGGGUCAGCGCAGGGUCGGUGCAGGGUCAGCACAGGGUCGACGCAGACCGGUGCAGACCGGCGCAGACUGGCGCAGACCGGUGCAGGCUGGCGCAGACUGGCGCAGACCGGUGCAGGCCGGCGCAGACCGGUGCAGGCCGGUGCAGGCCGGUGCAGGGUCAGCGUAGGCCGGCGUAGGGUCGGCGCCGGCCGACCGCUGAGCAGGACGGGCGGCGGCCACCCACAGGGACGAGACAGGCUUCCGGGAAGGGGCGCAGGUCCGGCGGCGGUGCUCCGGCCGCGGCCGGCGACGGUUGGUGAUGGCUGGUGUCGGCCGGCGACGGCUGGUGCGGGCUGGUGUUCGGCAGGGCGUCGCGGAGUCAGUCGCCGGCACCAGUCUCGGCGUCCGCCGCCGGCCUAAUGUGAUACGUGUGGCGAGCUGAAGCAACCAAAGAGAUAUUCGGCUCCAGACCACGCAUGGCUGAUCACGGCUUUUGAGGCGCAGGCGGGCGCGACGCUGUCACUAUUGCGACGACUGAUUCAGAGGUAUUACACAGGGGCCAAGUGUACUGAACCAUUCGCACGAAGCUGUGCUGUUCCAAUUUCUACCAAGGUACUGUGAUUAUCUUCGGCUAUGUGUUGUGCGUAUGCGACGUACGUGCAUGAAACGCAGCAAUUGCCGACUGACGCGGAAGAUCUAAAUCGGAAAGUUAGAUGAGUUGAAUCCGGUUGUGGGCACGAACUUGUCUUGCGCUGUGCAGUGGCGUGCGCAUCUUCCCCGUGCCAUUACCACCGAGCUCCCGCGCGCUGGUGCUCGCUGCGGGACGUCAGUGAACUGAUUGGCCAGGACUGGCGGCGACGCAUCUGCCAACCGAUAAGUAUCGACAUCAGUUACGUGCCGGUGAAACGGGCUGCCAUACUGUGGUACGUGGUGCUGGGAUGGCUGCCACUGGCCGGAGAUUGCGGUGUGAUUUGUGCAGCCCUGCGAUGAUGGAUCGUCGAGUAUAUAUAUCAACAUGCUUUGCUUUUAAAUAUAUCGAACCGAAUUGUU